CAGACGAUCAGGGUGCUGGCAGUGAGAGUCCAGGGAGAGGAGCGGAAACAGAAGAGGAGCAGAAGACAGGGGCACUUGUGGGUUGCAGAGCCCCUCAGCCAUGUUGGGUGCCAAGCCACACUGGCUACCACGUCCCCUACACAGUCCCGGGCUUCCCUUGGCUCUGGUGCUUCUGGCCCUGGGGGCCGGGUGGGCCCAGGAGGGGUCAGAGCCCGUCCUGCUGGAGGGGGAGUGCCUUGUGGUCUGUGAGCCUGGGCGAGCUGCCGCAGGGGGGCCCGGAGGAGCAGCCCUGGGAGAGGCGCCCCCUGGGCGAGUGGCAUUUGCUGCGGUCCGAAGCCACCACCAUGAGCCAGCAGGGGAAACCGGCAAUGGCACCAGUGGGGCCAUCUACUUCGACCAGGUCCUGGUGAACGAGGGCGGUGGCUUUGACCGGGCCUCCGGCUCCUUCGUAGCCCCUGUCCGGGGUGUCUACAGCUUCCGGUUCCAUGUGGUGAAGGUGUACAACCGCCAAACUGUCCAGGUGAGCCUGAUGCUGAACACGUGGCCUGUCAUCUCAGCCUUUGCCAAUGACCCUGAUGUGACCCGGGAGGCAGCCACCAGCUCUGUGCUACUGCCCUUGGACCCCGGGGACCGAGUGUCUCUGCGCCUGCGUCGGGGAAAUCUACUGGGUGGCUGGAAAUACUCAAGUUUCUCUGGCUUCCUCAUCUUCCCUCUCUGAGGACCCAAGCCUUUCAAGCACAAGAAUCCAGCCCCUGACGACUUUCUUCUGCCCUCUCUUGCCCCAGAAACAGCAGAGGCAGGAGAGAGACUCCCCUCUGGCUGCCUAUAUCCCACCUCCUUGCAUGGGACCCUGUGCCAAACACCCAAGUUUAAGAAAAGAGUAGAGCUGUGGCAUCUCCAGACCUGGUCUUUCCACCCACCCACCACCAGUUCCCCUCCCAGCCACCUGCUGCAUCUGUUCCUGCCUGCAGCCCUAGAAUCAGGGCAAGGUUUGGCAAGAAGGAAGAUCUGCACUACUUUGCAGCCUCUGCUCCUCCUGUUCCCCCACACCAGCUUCCUGCUCAAUGCUGUUCAGGAACAGGUGGCACAGCCUGGAUGAAUCUAUCAAUAAAACAACUAGAGAAUGGUGGUCAGUGAGACACUAUAGGAUCACUAAAGAGAAGAUGCCUCUGGAGUUUGGAUCGGGUGUUACAGGUACAAGUAGGUAUGUUGCAGAGGAAAAUAAAUAUUAAACUGUAUACUAAAGUUACAUUUUAAAAGUUGAAUAAUGUUUGAGUUAAAUAGGAAAUACCAAGGUGAAUUUGUGGUUUUAAAAAGAAAUAACUUUUUGAACUGUCACUAACACUAAAAACAACAUCAGGAACAAUCUGAUAUCCAUUCUUAGAAACUGGAUCUUUGCUUCAAAUAGUAGUCACCAUUAAAAAAAAAAUACCAAAAAAACCUCAGGUUCCUUGAAGAAUAGCUGCACACCUUAAGUAACUCCAGGCCCAGAAAAUGUUGUUGAUGACAGAAAGCAAAGAUACUUUUUAAAUGUAUAAAGUAAAGCUGAAAGGCAAAGGAAUCAAUUUAAAGAGGCUCCCACUUAACAUGCUUUGACAAUUUGAUUAUCAAAAGGAAAAUAAUAUAGCUAAUUGGAACAAGGUGAAUUUUUUAAAAUCCAUGCAUCUAUAAUGAUAUUCGAAAAGAAAGAAGUCACUAUAAAGUGUGCCAAAAGGUAGUUAAUAUACUAAGUGAAAAAGAGUGAACGUAAUAGGCUAUUUUUAGUGAGUCGCGAUAAGUAGAACAUAAAUAUAGUAGACAUUUUGUCUAUUUGCACGGUACGUUUGUUUUUCUUUAUCUGUGUAAGUAGGGAGGGGUGAGUACAGAGAACUGUGAGUAAUUCCAGGAAGAUCUGGCACUGUGCCAAGAAUGAAAGAUACUGAUGGAACUAUUUGGGCAUAUUUUGCAACUAAGAAGAAAAACAGUCCAAUGGUGUGUUAUAAGACAAUGGAUUAGUCAAAUGUCCAAGACAACUGUUCACUGCUCAGGCUUGAUUGUUCAUCUCCUGGAAAAUGGAUCCUCUGUAUUACCUCACUUAUUAUAAUGAGAUAUUAAUUAGGCAAAAUGAUUAAGAGUAGGUUUGGCUGUAACAGUAAAACCCAAAAUAAGAAUAGCUUAAACAAAAUAGGAAUUCAUUUCUGUCUCACAUAGAAGAAUCUGUAAAUAAGGGUCCAGGGAUGGAUGGCAGCCUUAUGAUCAUUUGAAAGCCCAGUCUCCUGUCUUGCUGUUCUACCAUCCUUAGCUUGCCACCUCAUGACCCAAGAUGGCUCCCUGAGCUCCAGCCAUUACAUCAGCCUAACAGGAAGGAGGAAGGAAGAAACAGCACAUCUCUUUCCUUGAAAGAAGCUUUCUGAAAGGUGCACCAAUAUGUCUGAUUGUGUCUCAGUAGAAUUUAGUCACCUGGGCUCACCAAGCCAAGGAGAGAGGCUAGGAGCUAUAGGGUUUAUUCCAGGCAGCCAUGUCCAGCUAGAAGUUGGGAGUUUUAUAAUAAAGAAGAAGGGGAGAUUAGCUAUCGGGGAAGACAACUGGAAGUUGUUUUUUGUUGUUGUUUUUUGAGACAGAGUCACGGUCCGUCGACCAGGCCGGAGUGCAGUGGCGCAAUUUCAGCUCACUGCAACCUCCGCCUCCUGGGUUCAAGCAAUUCUCAUGCCUCAGCCUCCCGAGUAGCUGGGAUUACAGUUGUGCACCACCAGGCCCAGCUAAUUUUUUGUAUUUUCAGUGAAGAUGGGGUUUUGCCGUGUUGUCCAGGCUGGUCUGAAACUCCUGGCGUCACGUGAUCCAAUUACAGGUGUGAGCUACCACAUCCGGCCACAAAGUACUACCAACUUGAUGGCUUAAAGCAACUAUUUAUUAUCUCACAGUUUCUGUGGGUCAGAAGUCCAACAAAACGUGACUGGCUUCUCUGCUCAGGGUUUCACAAGGUCAAAAGCAAAGUAUAAGCAGGGCGGCCUUCCUUACUGGAGGGGAGGAAUUCACUUCUAAACUCAUUUCAAGUUCAGUUCCUUAUGGUUGUAGGACUUAGGUCCUGGCCCCCUCCAUUCUCAAGCCAACAAUGGCAAGCCAAGUGCUUCUCACACUUUGAAUCUCUCAGGCCUACCUUUCUACCAUCUCUCUCUGACUUCAGUGGAGAAAGUUCUCUGAGUUAAAGGACUCAUGUGAUUAGAUUGGGCCCACCCAGAUAAGCCAGGAUAAUCUCCCUAUUUUAAGGUCCACAACCUGAAUUGCAUAUUUGAAGUUUGUUUUGCCAUGUAAUAUAACAUAUUCACAGGUUCCAGGGAUUAAGGUAUGGACAUCUUCGGGACAUCUGCAUAUCAGAGUCACUAAACUUAAAGAUGGCUUCAUGUAGAGAAAAGGCAUCCAGCUACAAUACCACUGCAUGGAAAACGUAUGGGCUUGAAAAUUUCCCAUGAUAUAUACAAGAUAAAUAUCAGUUCAGAUUUUAAUCAUUUUAGAAGGUGAACCAGUUCCCAGGUCCCAACCAAAAAUUCAUUGAUUAAUAAUCCAAAACUUGAUCUACAUUGAGAUAUAUUUUUAUUUUAGAUAUCUAAAUUCAAAAAUUGGCCUGAGCUGAGAUAAUGUCUCUCAGGUCUACAGCCCAUUUUUAUAGUGGAUUUAAGCAUAGGUGUCAUAAACUUUAUAAUCCUUAUAAUGGUGUGUGUCCUUUAUCAAAAUGAAGCUUUUAGAGAAACUGAUGUAUUCGUGAUUCAAUUGAAAUAUUUAGGAGGAUUUGAUUGUUUUUAAUCAAUGUUUAAAUAAUUUUACUUGUUAAAUGUAGAGAUUUUGAUUUGCUGGUUAUAGAAAUUGUGUUCAAAUAUUUAGACCAUUUUUCCUUCAGUAGGUUUGUGAAUAGAUUAAACAAUAAAUAAAGCACAGAUGAUGGUGA
This is an RNA transcript of Cercocebus atys (sooty mangabey), 3922 nucleotides long. It is a transcript of the gene named cerebellin 3 precursor, with no coding region annotated. NCBI's taxonomy places the organism in Eukaryota, Metazoa, Chordata, Mammalia, Primates, Cercopithecidae. The transcript has 4 exons. The record is from RefSeq and is a predicted model, not a curated record.